CCUACGGGCGGCAGCAGUGAGGAAUAUUGGUCAAUGGACGAGAGUCUGAACCAGCCAAGUAGCGUGAAGGAUGACUGCCCUAUGGGUUGUAAACUUCUUUUAUAUGGGAAUAAAAUGUUCCACGUGUGGGAUUUUGUCUGUACCAUAUGAAUAAGGAUCGGCUAACUCCGUGCCAGCAGCCGCGGUAAUACGGAGGAUACGAGCGUUAUCCGGAUUUAUUGGGUUUAAAGGGAGCGUAGGUGGAUUGUUAAGUCAGUUGUGAAAGUUUGCGGCUCAACCGUAAAAUUGCAGUUGAAACUGGCAGUCUUGAGUACAGUAGAGGUGGGCGGAAUUCGUGGUGUAGCGGUGAAAUGCUUAGAUAUCACGAAGAACUCCGAUUGCGAAGGCAGUUCACUGGACUGCAACUGACACUGAGGCUCGAAAGUGUGGGUAUCAAACAGGAUUAGAUACCCCUGUAGUC
This 460-nucleotide ribosomal RNA is filed under the name uncultured bacterium. Its description in RNAcentral is "partial 16S ribosomal RNA". It matches the Rfam family "Bacterial small subunit ribosomal RNA", at positions 338 to 795 of the family's 1533-position model. The record is from RNAcentral.